This 187-nucleotide ribosomal RNA is filed under the name uncultured bacterium. RNAcentral's name for it is "partial 16S ribosomal RNA". It matches the Rfam family "Bacterial small subunit ribosomal RNA", at positions 1306 to 1500 of the family's 1533-position model. The record is from RNAcentral.
UGCAACUCGACUCCGUGAAGCUGGAUUCGCUAGUAAUCGCGCAUCAGCCAUGGCGCGGUGAAUACGUUCCCGGGCCUUGUACACACCGCCCGUCAAGCCAUGGGAGCCGGGGGUACCUGAAGUCCGUAACCGCGAGGAUCGGCCUAGGGUAAAACUGGUGACCGGGGCUAAGUCGUAACAAGGUACC